GAGUUUGAUCGUGGCUCAGAACGAACGCUGGCGGCAUGCCUAACACAUGCAAGUCGAGCGGUAACAGGCGUAGCAAUACGUGCUGACGAGCGGCGAACGGGUGGGUAAUGCUUCGGAAUCUUCCUCGUAGUGGGGAAUAACCUGGGGAAACUCAGGCUAAUACCGCAUACGAACUACGGUUGAAAGCAGGGGAUCGCAAGACCUUGCGCUAUGAGAUGAGCCGAAGUCGGAUUAGCUAGUUGGUGAGGUAACGGCUCACCAAGGCGACGAUCCGUAGCUGGUCUGAGAGGACGACCAGCCACACUGGGACUGAGACACGGCCCAGACUCCUACGGGAGGCAGCAGUGGGGAAUAUUGGACAAUGGGGGCAACCCUGAUCCAGCGACGCCGCGUGUGUGAAGAAGGCCUGCAGGUUGUAAAGCACUUUUAGUGGGGAUGAAAAGCCGAAGGCUAAUACCUUUCGGUCUUGACCUAACCCAAAGAAAAGCACCGGCUAACUCUGUGCCAGCCGCCGCCGU
This 518-nucleotide ribosomal RNA is filed under the name uncultured Gammaproteobacteria bacterium. RNAcentral describes it as "bacterial SSU rRNA". It matches the Rfam family "Bacterial small subunit ribosomal RNA", at positions 9 to 521 of the family's 1533-position model. Lineage: Bacteria; Pseudomonadati; Pseudomonadota; Gammaproteobacteria. The record is from RNAcentral.